AACGAACGCUGGCGGCAUGCCUAACACAUGCAAGUCGAACGAGACUUUCGGGUCUAGUGGCGCACGGGUGCGUAACGCGUGGGAACCUGCCCUUAGGUUCGGAAUAACUCCCCGAAAGGGGUGCUAAUACCGGAUAAUGUCUUCGGACCAAAGAUUUAUCGCCUUUGGAUGGGCCCGCGUUGGAUUAGCUAGUUGGUAGGGUAAAAGCCUACCAAGGCGACGAUCCAUAGCUGGUCUGAGAGGAUGAUCAGCCACACUGGGACUGAGACACGGCCCAGACUCCUACGGGAGGCAGCAGUGGGGAAUAUUGGACAAUGAGCGAAAGCCUGAUCCAGCCAUGCCGCGUGAGUGAUGAAGGCCUUAGGGUUGUAAAGCUCUUUUACCCGGGAUGAUAAUGACAGUACCGGGAGAAUAAGCACCGGCUAACUACGUG
RNAcentral lists this ribosomal RNA (433 nucleotides) under uncultured bacterium. Its description in RNAcentral is "partial 16S ribosomal RNA". It matches the Rfam family "Bacterial small subunit ribosomal RNA", at positions 29 to 507 of the family's 1533-position model. The record is from RNAcentral.